Cervus elaphus (red deer) is the source of this 339-nucleotide long non-coding RNA. RefSeq lists it as uncharacterized. NCBI's taxonomy places the organism in Eukaryota, Metazoa, Chordata, Mammalia, Artiodactyla, Cervidae. The transcript has 3 exons. The record is from RefSeq and is a predicted model, not a curated record.
AUGAGAAGGACACCGAGUCAGCGGAGAAAUGUUUCUCCCUGUCCUCUGAUCACAGCGCAGCCUGUCAGACCAGAAGGCUCCCGCCACACGGAAUGUGGGUGUUCCCACCAUGGGGUCAAGAGGAUGUAACUGAGAUGCAUGGGGUAGGAAGUUUUGCCUGUUUCGUUCACUGCUUUAUCUUCAGUACCUAGAACAGUGCCUGGUGUGAGGGGCUGGGGAGGAGUGACCCAUCUGGAGAAGACGCUGGGGCAGCAGGCACUCACCGUUCGGACAGCGAGGCCAUGCCGGCCAGGAAGGUGUGCCGGUCGGUUUCGGCCAGCCGCUCUUGCAGGAUCUGCG